CCAGAAUCCAGAUAGGCGCAGCCCAUUCCCCUCCCCCGCCACACUUUUCCCCCCGUCUCGUUGCUACUUGCGAGGCAGAGGCCGCAGGUCCACGGGACAAACCCCAGCCGCGGCCUAAUCUUCUCCGCCCCAAUCAGUCCGCUCAUUACCGCGCGGCGAGCCGGCGACCACUGGGGAGGGCAGCGGUCUGAUGCGAUGAUGCGUCCGGCUAGAGGAUACAUAUUGAACUACUGUAAUGAUAUGAAGUAUCCAUCCCAAUGACAUCCUGUGUGGACUCUGGAAGGCAACGAUCCUUUCCAAGCAAGAAAGCAGACAUAUACAAGAGAGCCUUUUCUGCAGCAGCAGAUUUGCAGCUUUUUCAUUGUGCUUGGUGGCAAUUAUCAGGUUCACCAACUCCUAUGGUGCUAGGAUGGGGUCAAAGUGCUGAAAGAUCAUAUUAAUGUUUCUGCUACUCCUUGCAAUUUGCAUGCUGCUGUUUUGGUGCUGCUAUUCAGUUUUCAAUCUUCGGAUGCAUGUGCUUCAGUCCAUUAUUGAUGUCUGAAAUGUGUCCUUGGAUGACAUCAAAAGGAGAUAUUCUUGGAAGUAGAAAGAGGAUGUUUCUUGAAGGAUUCACUUUGGUGUGGUUUGCUGAUGAUUGUUCUUGCUGUUGAUGUUUGGAUGAAUUGCUCAAGUGGCUGACAGCCGGGAUGAGGAUAUGGCAAAAUGCUGAUCGUCGUUGCCGAUAGAGACAGGUGCCUCUUCUCUUUCGUGGACUUCAAUUUUUGGCAUUUUCCUUUUAAAUGCACAUCCAUCAUUAUCCGGAAUAAAUUCCUGCAUUAGGAGCCAGCAUAAGGUUCUGAACACACCUGAUUGCUUUCAAUGCCAUACCACAGUGAAUUAAAUGUUCUCGAAAUUUUGGCAAAGCCAAUACCCUUGUGCCAUUUUUAUUUACUAGGCAUAUCGUGUUUGAUACACAGUUACUGCUACUAUACAGGCUAAUCACAAUAAAAUUUGACAAAAAAAAAUCUGCUGGAAGUAUCUCUCACAGAGAAAGAAGGUUUAACCUGCAUGACAUCUCUUUGCUGUUGAUUCAUGGUAUUGGCAAAAGACUCUUGAAAUUUUGAAGAAAGGAAAAAGAGGGACUGGGCAGGAAGCAAAUGUGAUGGUUUCUGAACCAACUGUAGUUGAUUGCAUUUUCUUUACAUAUAAUUGAUAAAAACAUGUAGCCUUGACUGAUAGAAGGGAAAGGAGGUGAGCCCCUGUGUGCCCAUCAGCACAAAAUGCCAGCUAUAUGAUCAAAUAGGUGAACGGUGGUCACAUGUAGCCAGAUUUUAGGAGCACCAGGUCCAGCUGGUUGUGGGGCGCAUCAGUGAGAGGAGCGUGACACACAUAUACCCACAGCAGGCAAAGUUGCCACAUUAGUCCCGGCAGAUGCAUUCGCCAUUGGAACAUAUUCUGUUCACGCCUUGCCUUUUUAAGGAGUUCUUGAUUCUACAAGAUAUUUACAAAUUGAUUGAAUUCUCAUUUAUACCCGCAUUAACCUGUUUCUGAUACUUGAUGUUUUCGCAUUGUAGUCCAUUCACCACCCCUUCUCUUUUCCAGCAAGGAAAUAUUCAUGAGCUGUAUUACUGGUUACCACUUACCACGUGUUAUCUAAUUGGUCAAUGCUGCAUCAGGAAUAGCAAAGUGAACAGUUGAUCUCGUUUCUGACUUCUGAUUGCAAGGGUUAGGCGGUGCGAGUGGGUGCUGCACGGAGGUCCAACAAGGAGGAAUUCUUCUCUUGGAGUGGGGGUUAAAGUGGCUUAUCUUAAUUUGCAUCUGAUCCUCUCUCGGACCUGCGAUAAGAAGAUUCAAAGGAUGACACCCCAUCGAUAAUGUUCCUGUUUCGCCGCUUUAUCCAUGAAAAAAGCAAUGCUUCCUAUCUACCACCCAAGAAAGCCUUUGCAAUUGAAUUUCCAACAUGGAAGAGUCUCUCAUGUCAUGUGGGGCUGGUAAAUAAUUUGGUUUGGUUCUGGUCUGUUUUCGGCUAGACACACUGAUGCCAUAAUCGAAAUAUCACAUGAAGGCUGGCAGGCGCUUGAUCUGAAUAAAGUCCAUGGUUCAAUCUGUGGCCCUGGGACAGCGAGCUGUUCUUAAGAAAAGAGUGAAAAAUUGACUGUUUGCAUGCAUAUAUCGUUGGUAAAGCCUGCUUUGUCGUGACUUGUGAGCUUGCAAACAGUAAAAUGAUUGUGCAUGUGUUGGACCAUGAUUUUUAUAAGAUGGCAUGAAUAUGAAAUCAUUUGCUUGCA
Molecule: long non-coding RNA, 2267 nt
Organism: Setaria italica (foxtail millet)
Lineage: Eukaryota; Viridiplantae; Streptophyta; Magnoliopsida; Poales; Poaceae
Exons: 5
Source: RefSeq, a predicted model, not a curated record